RNAcentral lists this ribosomal RNA (214 nucleotides) under uncultured bacterium. Its description in RNAcentral is "partial 16S ribosomal RNA". It matches the Rfam family "Bacterial small subunit ribosomal RNA", at positions 524 to 737 of the family's 1533-position model. The record is from RNAcentral.
UACGAAGGGGGCUAGCGUUGCUCGGAAUCACUGGGCGUAAAGGGUGCGUAGGCGGCUUCCUAAGUUUGAUGUGAAAUCCUGGGGCUCAACCCUGGAACUGCAUUGAAUACUGGGAGGCUAGAGUACUGGAGAGGAAACUGGAAUUUACGGUGUAGCAGUGAAAUGCGUAGAGAUCGUAAGGAAGACCAGUGGCGAAGGCGAGUUUCUGGACAGU